ACUCCUACGGGAGGCAGCAGUGGGGAAUAUUGCACAAUGGGCGCAAGCCUGAUGCAGCCAUGCCGCGUGUAUGAAGAAGGCCUUCGGGUUGUAAAGUACUUUCAGCGGGGAGGAAGGCGAUAAGGUUAAUAACCUUGUCGAUUGACGUUACCCGCAGAAGAAGCACCGGCUAACUCCGUGCCAGCAGCCGCGGUAAU
This 197-nucleotide ribosomal RNA is filed under the name uncultured bacterium. RNAcentral describes it as "partial 16S ribosomal RNA". It matches the Rfam family "Bacterial small subunit ribosomal RNA", at positions 335 to 524 of the family's 1533-position model. The record is from RNAcentral. RNAcentral also lists the same sequence under 1 other name.